UUGGACUUCAAUAUUCGUUCU
Molecule: non-coding RNA, 21 nt
Filed under: Caenorhabditis elegans
Lineage: Eukaryota; Metazoa; Nematoda; Chromadorea; Rhabditida; Rhabditidae
Source: RNAcentral